CGCCCAACAGCUAGCCUUGAAAACCUAAAAACAACAAAUCCACAUUAAUUAACCCCACACACACCUAACGAACAUUAAAUAAAUCAUUCUUCCCCCCUAGUAUGAGCGACAGAAAAGGGACAUUUUUGAGCGAUAGAAAAAGUACCGUAAGGGAACGCUGAAAGAGAAAUGAAACAACUCAGUCAAAGCAAGAAACAGCAGAGUCUUCUCCUCGUACCUUUUGCAUCAUGAUUUAGCCAGCAACAAUCAAGCAAAGUGCCCUUUAGUUUGACUCCCCGAAACUAAGUGAGCUACUCCGGGACAGCCUAUCAAGGGCAAACCCGUCUCUGUGGCAAAAGAGUGGGAAGAGCUCCGAGUAGCGGUGACAGAUCAACCGAACUUAGUGAUAGCUGGUUGCCUAAGAAAUGGAUAUAAGUUCAGCCUACAGACUUCUCAACUCGAACGAACACCCUUUGACGUUACUGCCCUCACCCAGCAGUAUAAUUUAUUGAACGACCCAAGAGACAAAAGAAAUCCGUAGAGUUAAUCAAAAGGGGGACAGCCCUUUUGAUACAAGAAACAACUUUACUAGGAGGUUAAAGAUCAUAGUCUCAACUAAAGGUACAGUAUUCUGGUGGGCUUAAAAGCAGCCAUCCAUAAUGAAAGCGUUAUAGCUCAAAUGUGCCCCUACCCUUAAAAUAAGGAUAAAACUAUCUUAGACCCCUUUAACUAUUAGGCCCCUCUAUACCCCUAUAGAAGUGACAAUGCUAAUAUGAGUAAUAUGAGACUCCUCUCCCGACGCAAGUGUACAUCGAAACGGAAACCCCAUCGAAAAUUAACGACCCCAAUUUACAGAGGGAAUUGAACCAUCACUAUGACCUUUCAAGAAAACACUUCAACAUCCAUCGUUGACCCUACACUGGUGUGUCCCUUGGGAAAGACUAAAAGAAGAAGAAGGAACUCGGCAAAUAACAUUUUAGCCUCGCCUGUUUACCAAAAACAUCGCCUCUUGCAAACAUACAUAUAAGAGGUCACGCCUGCCCGGUGACUCUAUGUUAAACGGCCGCGGUAUACUGACCGUGCCAAGGUAGCGCAAUCACUUGCCCUUUAAAUGGGGGCCCGUAUGAACGGCGCCACGAGGGCUAAUCUGUCUCCUUCUUCCAGUCAAUGAAAUUGAUCUCCCCGUGCAGAAGCGGGGAUAAACACAUAAGACGAGAAGACCCUGUGGAGCUUUAGAUACUAAGAUUGAUCCCCUCAACAUACUCUGACAAAAGUAUUUAAACAAGGAAUUCAAUCAGAUUAUCUUUGGUUGGGGCGGCCGCGGGGAUCAAAAUAACCCCCAUGUGGACCGGGAAUCUCAGUUACACUCUAGUACUUUUUAUUCCUACAAUCAAGAGUCACCACUCUAAACAACAGAACUUCUGACCAACAAUGAUCCGACAAAGUCGAUCAACGGACCAAGUUACCCCAGGGAUAACAGCGCAAUCCCCUCUAAGAGUCCUUAUCGACGAGGGGGUUUACGACCUCGAUGUUGGAUCAGGACAUCCCAUUGGCGUACAAGCUAUUAAGGGUUCGUUUGUUCAACGAUUAAAGUCCUACGUGAUCUGAGUUCAGACCGGAGUAAUCCAGGUCAGUUUCUAUCUAUGUAAUGUUCCCUUCUAGUACGAAAGGACCGAAAUGAAGAGGUCCAUACUUCAAGCACACCUCCCCCUAAAUCAAUGCAACUAACUAAAAUGAACAACAGGGCAUAUACUCGUUUCUCCCAGAGAACAUGGAAAC
This 1758-nucleotide ribosomal RNA is filed under the name Nemipterus furcosus (fork-tail threadfin bream). RNAcentral describes it as "16S ribosomal RNA". The stretch from base 100 to 1674 matches the Rfam family "Bacterial large subunit ribosomal RNA". The record is from RNAcentral. Lineage: Eukaryota; Metazoa; Chordata; Actinopteri; Spariformes; Nemipteridae.